Molecule: long non-coding RNA, 428 nt
Organism: Mauremys mutica (yellowpond turtle)
Lineage: Eukaryota; Metazoa; Chordata; Testudines; Geoemydidae
Exons: 3
Source: RefSeq, a predicted model, not a curated record
CGCAGUGUGUGUUGACCUUACUGUUCUCGCCAAAUAUGCUCAGCUGAGUCAUAUUAACAGCAUCACCCUGGCUCACUUUGCAUACAUGGACACAAUCGGAGCCAUGGCUUCUUGCUUUGAGUUGGAGCCAGCAGCAGGAGUCACUGCCAGAGACUGAAACCCAUGCUCCAUGAGUGCAGUGCAGAAAAAUGGCUGAUUGAAUCAACUGGGAGGCUUUUUGUGGCAGCCACCCUUGCGGCCUCAUGAAAGAUGUGGAAGGACCAAACCUUCAGGGUCACGUUUUUCUACUGCCUAAGGCUAAAGAAAAGAACAUGUUUCUGCAUCAGUGGUGGUUCUGGAGAAGAGAGGAUAUGGGCAACAUCUCUCGGUUUCUUCUGCCCCAUGUCUUAAGAAAUUUGCCGUGAUAACUGGACAACCUGUCUCCUCAA